Molecule: ribosomal RNA, 468 nt
Filed under: uncultured bacterium
Lineage: Bacteria
Description: partial 16S ribosomal RNA
Rfam family: Bacterial small subunit ribosomal RNA
Source: RNAcentral
GACGAACGCUGGCGGCGUGCUUAACACAUGCAAGUCGAACGGAAAGGCCCUGCUUUUGUGGGGUGCUCGAGUGGCGAACGGGUGAGUAACACGUGAGUAACCUGCCCUUGACUUUGGGAUAACUUCAGGAAACUGGGGCUAAUACCGGAUAGCAUCUCCUGCUGCAUGGUGGGGGUUGGAAAGUUUCGGCUGUUGGGGCUGGACUGGCGGCUUAUCAGCUUGUUGGUGGGGUAGUGGCUGACCAAGGCUUUGACGGGUAGCCGGCCUGGGAGGGUGACCGGGCACAUUGGGCCUGAGAUACGGCCCAGACUCCUACGGGAGGCAGCAGGGGGGAAUAUGGCACAAUGGGCGGAAGUCUGAUGCAGCAACGCCGCGUGCGUGAUGACGGCCUUUGGGGUGUAAACAGCUGUCGCCUGUGACGAAGCGUGAGUGACGGUAAUGGGUAAAGAAGCACCGGCUAACUACGUG